GGAUUAGGCAUGCAAGUCGAGCGAGAAAAUCUCCUUUACGGGAGAUGAGUAAAGCGGCGGAAGGGUGAGUAAGGCAUGGAUAACCUGCCCCCAAGACGGGGAUACCACCUGAAAGGGGUGUUAAUACCCGAUAAGACCACGGGUCCUCGGACCCGGGGUUAAAGAUAGCCUCUGACGAAAGUCACGCCUUCACUUGGGGAGGGGUCCAUGUGCUACUAGCUAGUUGGUGGGGUAACGGCCUACCAAGGCUUUGAUGGCUAGCCGACCUGAGAGGGUGACCGGCCACACUGGGACUGAGACACUGCCCAGACUCCUACGGGAGGCUGCAGUCGAGAAUCUUCCGCAAUGCGCGAAAGCGUGACGGAGCGACGCCGCGUGGGCGAUGAAGGCCUUCGGGUUGUAAAGCCCUGUCACGUGGUAAGAACAGCGGGGGGUUAAUAGCCUGCCCGCCUGACGCUACCAUGAGAGGAAGCCCCGGCUAAUUCCGUGCCAGCAGCCGCGGUAAUACGGAAGGGGCCAGCGUUGCUCGGAAUCACUGGGCAUAAAGAGCAUGUAGGCGGGGACGUAAGUCAGGAGUAAAAACCCCCGGCUUAACCGGGGAACGUCUUUUGAAACUGCGUCUCUUGAGUGCGGGAGGGGAGAGUGGAAUUCCCGGUGGAGCGGUGAAAUGCGUAGAUAUCGGGAGGAACGCCGGUGGCGAAAGCGACUCUCUGGCCCGCUACUGACGCUGAGGUGCGAAAGCUAGGGGAGCAAACGGGAUUAGAUACCCCGGUAGUCCUAGCCCUAAACGAUGGGCACUAAGUAGAGGGGUUUU
This 814-nucleotide ribosomal RNA is filed under the name uncultured bacterium. RNAcentral describes it as "bacterial SSU rRNA". It matches the Rfam family "Bacterial small subunit ribosomal RNA", at positions 46 to 832 of the family's 1533-position model. The record is from RNAcentral.